Papaver somniferum (opium poppy) is the source of this 3777-nucleotide RNA transcript. It is a transcript of the gene named receptor protein kinase TMK1-like, with no coding region annotated. Lineage: Eukaryota; Viridiplantae; Streptophyta; Magnoliopsida; Ranunculales; Papaveraceae. The record is from RefSeq and is a predicted model, not a curated record. The transcript has 2 exons.
GCUUCAACACUAAAACAAAACAAACACACUCAUUCAUUAGUUUAAGUAUGAAGCUCUGCAAAUCAAAAAUAGGAGAGAUGUGGGAGUUUUUCUUGAGGGAUUGUUUGUUGUCCCUCUCCUAUACAUAGAUCUGCAUGAUUUUAGAGAUAAAAUCAGAGCUGAUGAUUCUAAAUUUGAUAAAUCAAACAACCCUCCUCUCCCUCUCUCUCAAUCUCUGUUGCUGCUGCUGUUGCUUCUUCUUCUUCUUCUUCUCAUAAAAAAAAACACUAAUAUCCGUUGGAUGAUUUUCAGCACAUCUCUAGACAAUACGUCACUAAGAAGAGAAUGUUUAAUUAUUGUCCGCACUCUGAAGUAGAAAAGAAAGUUCAGUUCAGUUCAGUUCAGAAGUACAGUUUCAAGAAAACAAGAUUGUUCUACCCGGAUCAUCUUAGGGUUUCGAAAUCAAUCAUACUUUAGAAAUUAUUUUAUACUAGAGGGAGGAAUCAUGGAUUAGUAAAAUGGAUUUCUUCACCUAAACCUCAAAUUUUCUUCAAUUUUUCUUUAUCAAACUACCAAAGACAAACUUCGAAAUCUCUUUACAAUGAAAAUCUUCUUAUCGAAGGUUUUGAUCAUCUUAUGUCUAAUUGUAGUUACUGAUUGUGUUAUGUUUCCUCUGAAAUCAUCUCACGACGCCGAUGUCAUGAUUGAUUUGAAGAAGGCCUUGGUUUUGGAUAAAUCUCUGAACUGGUCGGAUCCCAGUCCUUGCAAAUGGGAGGGAGUAUUCUGUACCGAAAACAGGGUUUCCGGCAUUCAGUUUUCUGAGUCUCAGGUCAAGGGCGAAGUUCCAUCCAAUUUCAAAGACCUGUCUAUGCUCAAGAUCUUAGUGCUGCAAGGUAAUGCACUCUCAGGUGUUCUUCCAAUUUGUGGGAUGACACAUUUAGAAACAGUACUUAUUGAUCGAAACUAUUUCAGUUCUGUACCUUCCAAUUGUUUUAAUGGUCUGACUAAUCUUAGAACUAUAUCACUUGAUCAUAAUCCAUUCACACAAUGGGAGAUCCUAGCUUCUUUGGUGAGUGCUAGAGAUGUUGAGUAUAUAUCUAUUGAGAAUGCAAGUCUUAUAGGAAAAAUACCUAAGUUCUUAAGAGGGGGUCGUUUCCCUUUGCUAAAACAGUUAAAUGUUGCCAACAACAGAUUAGAAGGUCCAGUUCCUACUGAUUUUGCUACUCUUCCAUUGACAUCUCUCCAGUUGAAUGGUCAAAAAUUUAAUGGAGAUGUCUUUUUGUCAAACAUGAGCAAUUUGAGCGUAAUUAGGAUAGAAAAUAACUUCUUUUCUGGCCCUCUUCCGAAUAUGUCUAUGUUAAGAGAGUUGCAAGAACUAAAUCUGGCGAGAAACAAGUUUUCGGGUCCUGUUCCUUCUUCAUUGACAGGUCUGAUCAAUUUGGGAGAGGUAAACUUGAGUAGCAACUAUUUUCAAGGUCCGAUUCCGACAUUUAACAGAUCAAUGGAUUUUGGUCCUUCGAUGGACAACAACAGCUUUGUCUGUUGGAGCCGGGAGAAUGUGACCCUCGGACCAGCAUUCUGUUAGCAGUUGUCAAGUCAUUUCAUUAUCCUCUGAAGUUUGCAGAAACGUGGAUAGGCAAUAACCCAUGUGAUUCUUUCUACGGAAUAAGGUGCUAUAACGGAGACAUAAUUGGUUUAGACUUCAAGAACAUGGGGCUAGCUGGGAGUAUAUCUCCACAAUUAUCUUUGCUGCAUACCUUGAAAAGUAUAAACCUUUCUGGAAAUAAGUUGACUGGUACAAUUCCCACAGUGAUUACGACAAUGCGGUCUCUAGAAAAACUGGAUGUUUCUGACAAUCAGCUCACUGGAGUCGUUCCAAAAUUAUAAAAAAAUGUUGUAGUGGACGUUCAUGGUAACUUGAUUUCUUCUUCAAACUCUAGUGGUUCACCUGAUCCAUCGCCACAUAAAUCCUCGGGUAAAUCACCAGGAGUAGUGUUUAUUGUGGUGGUCUCUGUACUUGGGGGAGGUUUCUUACUUUUGUUACUCGGGACUAUCUUUUUCUGUCUCUGCAAGAAGAAACCGAACUCACUGAGUUCGGAUGAAACACAUGGUGCUAUAGCAGAAGGCAAAUACUCCCUUCAGGAGUUGAAGACUGCAACAAAUGACUUCUGCCCACAAAACAUUGUAGGUGUUGGUGGAUAUGCUACUGUUUAUAAAGGAAAGCUUGUGGAUGGGACAAUGGUCGCUGUUCAAAAAAUGAAGCUUGAUCAUAUGACUGAGAAGGGUUUGGCCGAAGUCAAAAGCGAGAUUGAUGCUCUCUCGAAAAUUCACCAUCGUCACCUGCUCUCGCUACUGGGGUUUUACUUGGAUGACAAUGAACGACUCCUUGUUUAUGAGUUCAUGCCCAAGGGCACGCUUAGUGAGCACCUUUUUGGCCGUGGAGGAGUGGUGGUUAACCCCCUUGACUGGAUUACAAGAUUGAGGAUUUCUGUUGACAUUGCAAAGGGUAUUGAUUAUCUUCAUUCUUUAGCCACAGAAAGCUACAUUCAUCGUGACCUGAAACCGUCCAACAUCCUCCUCGGAGAUGACUUGAGGGCGAAGCUAGCCAACUUUGGGCUUCUUCGUCUGGCUCCUUCUGGGACAUCUUCUGCUACGACCAGAGUUAUUGGAACUUUGGGGUACAUAGAUCCUGAGUAUCAUGCAGAAGAAAAAGUGUCGACCAAGGCUGAUGUCUACAGCUUCGGUAUAAUCUUAAUGGAGCUGAUAACAGGUCUAAAGGCAUUGGACAAAUCCCGAUCAGAAGAGAGCAGUCUGUUAGCCCCUUGGUUCCAGAAAAUUCGACUGGACAAAGGAAAACUUGUUAAAGUGAUUGACUCUACAAUUGCAAUGAAUGAAGAGACAUUGCGUAGCAUUCAGACUGUGGCCUUAAUGGCUGCCCGCUGCUGUAACCGGAAUCCAAAAAGAAGACCUGAUAUGAGUGGAGUACUAGAUCAAUUAAGGCUGAUGUCUACAGCUUCGGUGUAAUCUUAAUGGAGCUGAUAACAGGUCUAAAGGCAUUGGACAAAUCCCGAUCAGAAGAGAGCAGGCUGUUAGCCCCUUGGUUCCAGAAAAUUCGACUGGACAAAGGAAAACUUGUUAAAGUGAUUGACUCUACAAUUGCAAUGAAUGAAGAGACAUUGCGUAGCAUUCAGACUGUGGCCUUAAUAGCUGCCCGCUGCUGUAACCGGAAUCCAAAAAGAAGACCUGAUAUGAGUGGAGUACUAGAUCAAUUAUCACUUCUGCUCAGGGAACCUGCAAAGGAUGCCAAAGACAGCCACGUCGUUGAUAUCGAUAUGAUGGGAAGUUUUAGCAACUCUAGAGCCACGGCUACGCUUGGUUCCUUACCAGAGAGGGUAACACCAAGAAGAAACUUAUUAUCCCUAUUCCAGCAGCCUUUCUGGAAUACUACUCCAAAAUCCAUAUAGCAGUACCAGUAUUUGGUAUAUUAACUCAGUAGGAGGCGGAUUUCGUGGAUAUUGUAUGCAUUGGUGCCUACCCAGUUUACCUUGCACAUGGGUUGAUAACUUUUCAGCAAUGUUUCGGUAUUGUGCCAAUUGAACAAUUUGACAGAUUUUUUAUGGAUUUACCUUUGUCCAUGAAGCAAGUCACCUUUUGCAGACAGACUCAUGAUAGCAGAACUUGUUGGAGAUUGGUUCAUCAUUGACCCAAUAGACACAAGCUGCUGGUUUAUUCUCGUCAUGUUUUCCCGUGUAACAAGUUUUUUUACACGAUUACCUGAAAUUGAAAGCUGAAAUGAAA